This 440-nucleotide ribosomal RNA is filed under the name uncultured bacterium. RNAcentral's name for it is "partial 16S ribosomal RNA". It matches the Rfam family "Bacterial small subunit ribosomal RNA", at positions 338 to 795 of the family's 1533-position model. The record is from RNAcentral.
CCUACGGGUGGCAGCAGUGGGGAAUAUUGCACAAUGGGGGAAACCCUGAUGCAGCGACGCCGCGUGAGUGAAGAAGUUUUUCGGGAUGUAAAGUCCUAUUAGCAGGGAAGAUAAUGACGGUACCUGACUAAUAAGCCCCGGCUAACUCCGUGCCAGCAGCCGCGGUAAUACGGAGGGGGCAAGCGUUACCCGGAUUUACUGGGCGUAAAGGGUGCGCAGGCGGGAGUGUAAGUCAGAAGUGAAAUCCCAUGGCUUAACCAUGGAACUGCAUUUGAAACUAUGAGGCUAGAGUGCGGGAGAGGUAGGCGGAAUUCCUGGUGUAGCGGUAAAAUCCGUAGAUAUUAAGAGGAACACCAAUUGCGAAGGCGACUUACUGGAAUAUAACUGACGCUGAUGCUCGAAAGCGUGGGGAGCAAACAGGAAUAGAUACCCGGGUAGUC